Molecule: ribosomal RNA, 578 nt
Filed under: uncultured Bacteroidales bacterium
Lineage: Bacteria; Pseudomonadati; Bacteroidota; Bacteroidia; Bacteroidales
Description: bacterial SSU rRNA
Rfam family: Bacterial small subunit ribosomal RNA
Source: RNAcentral
GGAAGAUUAAUCCAGGAUGGGAUCAUGAGUUCACAUGUCCGCAUGAUUAAAGGUAUUUUCCGGUAGACGAUGGGGAUGCGUUCCAUUAGAUAGUAGGCGGGGUAACGGCCCACCUAGUCAACGAUGGAUAGGGGUUCUGAGAGGAAGGUCCCCCACAUUGGAACUGAGACACGGUCCAAACUCCUACGGGAGGCAGCAGUGAGGAAUAUUGGUCAAUGGGCGAUGGCCUGAACCAGCCAAGUAGCGUGAAGGAUGACUGCCCUAUGGGUUGUAAACUUCUUUUAUAAAGGAAUAAAGUCGGGUAUGCAUACCCGUUUGCAUGUACUUUAUGAAUGAGGAUCGGCUAACUCCGUGCCAGCAGCCGCGGUAAUACGGAGGAUCCGAGCGUUAUCCGGAUUUAUUGGGUUUAAAGGGAGCGUAGAUGGAUGUUUAAGUCAGUUGUGAAAGUUUGCGGCUCAACCGUAAAAUUGCAGUUGAUACUGGAUGUCUUGAGUGCAGUUGAGGCAGGCGGAAUUCGUGGUGUAGCGGUGAAAUGCUUAGAUAUCACGAAGAACUCCGAUUGCGAAGGCAGCCUGCUA